CCCGCACAAGCGGUGGAGCAUGUGGUUUAAUUCGAUGAUACGCGAGGAACCUUACCUGGGCUCAAAUGUAUGUUGACGUAUUCUGAAAGGGAUACUUCUUCGGACAAUAUACAAGGUGCUGCAUGGUUGUCGUCAGCUCGUGCCGUGAGGUGUCAGGUUAAGUCCCAUAACGAGCGCAACCCCUAUCAUUAGUUGCCAUCAGGUCAAGCUGGGGACUCUAAUGAAACUGCCUACGCAAGUAGUGAGGAAGGUGGGGAUGACGUCAAAUCAGCACGGCCCUUACGUCCAGGGCUACACACGUGCUACAAUGGCCGAUACAGAGGGCAGCUACCUGGUGACAGGAUGCAAAUCUCCAAAGUCGGUCUCAGUUCGGAUCGGAGUCUGCAACCCGACUCCGUGAAGUUGGAUUCGCUAGUAAUCGCGCAUCAGCCAUGGCGCGGUGAAUACGUUCCCGGGCCUU
Molecule: ribosomal RNA, 460 nt
Filed under: uncultured Sphingobacteriales bacterium
Lineage: Bacteria; Pseudomonadati; Bacteroidota; Sphingobacteriia; Sphingobacteriales
Description: bacterial SSU rRNA
Rfam family: Bacterial small subunit ribosomal RNA
Source: RNAcentral